This 484-nucleotide ribosomal RNA is filed under the name uncultured bacterium. RNAcentral's name for it is "partial 16S ribosomal RNA". It matches the Rfam family "Bacterial small subunit ribosomal RNA", at positions 30 to 507 of the family's 1533-position model. The record is from RNAcentral.
AUUGAACGCUGGCGGCAGGCCUAACACAUGCAAGUCGAGCGGAUGAAGGGAGCUUGCUCCUGGAUUCAGCGGCGGACGGGUGAGUAAUGCCUAGGAAUCUGCCUGGUCGUGGGGGCUAACGUCCGGAAACGGGCGCUAAUACCGCAUCCGUCCUGAGGGAGAAAGUGGGGGAUCUUCGGACCUCACGCUAUCAGAUGAGCCUAGGUCGGAUUAGCUAGUUGGUGGGGUAAAGGCCUACCAAGGCGACGAUCCGUAACUGGUCUGAGAGGAUGAUCAGUCACACUGGAACUGAGACACGGUCCAGACUCCUACGGGAGGCAGCAGUGGGGAAUAUUGGACAAUGGGCGAAAGCCUGAUCCAGCCAUGCCGCGUGUGUGAAGAAGGUCUUCGGAUUGUAAAGCACUUUAAGUUGGGAGGAAGGGCAGUAAGUUAAUACCUUGCUGUUUUGACGUUACCAACAGAAAAAGCACCGGCUAACUUCGUG